This 389-nucleotide ribosomal RNA is filed under the name uncultured bacterium. RNAcentral describes it as "partial 16S ribosomal RNA". It matches the Rfam family "Bacterial small subunit ribosomal RNA", at positions 338 to 724 of the family's 1533-position model. The record is from RNAcentral.
CCUACGGGUGGCAGCAGUGAGGAAUAUUGGUCAAUGGGCUUACGCCUGAACCAGCCAAGUCGCGUGAGGGAAGACUGCCCUAUGGGUUGUAAAUCUCUUUUGUAAGGAAGCAACGCCGGCUAAGUGUAGCCGAUCUGCGACUACCUGAAAAAAACGCAUCGGCUAACUCAGUGCCAGCAGCCGCGCUUAUACCGAGGAUGCGAGAUUUAUCCGGAUUAAUUGCGUUUAAAGGGUGCGUAGGCGGAAUGCUAAGUAAGCGGUAAAAUCGCGGGGUUCAACCUCGCUCUGCCGUUGAAACUGGCGAUCUUGAGUGUGCGAGAAGGAUGUGGGAUGCGUGGUGUAGCGGUGAAAUGCAUAGAUAUCACGCAGAACUCCGAUGGCGAAGGCAG